AGUGAACGCUGGCGGUAGGCCUAACACAUGCAAGUCGAACGGCAGCACAGUAAGAGCUUGCUCUUACGGGUGGCGAGUGGCGGACGGGUGAGUAAUACAUCGGAAUCUACUUUUUCGUGGGGGAUAACGUAGGGAAACUUACGCUAAUACCGCAUACGACCUACGGGUGAAAGCAGGGGAUCUUCGGACCUUGCGCGAUUGAAUGAGCCGAUGUCGGAUUAGCUAGUUGGCGGGGUAAAGGCCCACCAAGGCGACGAUCCGUAGCUGGUCUGAGAGGAUGAUCAGACACACGGGAACUGAGACACGGUACAGACUCCUACGGGAGGCAGCAGUGGGGAAUAUUGGACAAUGGGCGCAAGCCUGAUCCAGCCAUACCGCGUGGGUGAAGAAGGCCUUCGGGUUGUAAAGCCCUUUUGUUGGGAAAGAAAAGCAGCAGGUUAAUACCCCGCUGUUCUGACGGUACCCAAAGAAUAAGCACCGGCUAACUUCGUG
This 492-nucleotide ribosomal RNA is filed under the name uncultured bacterium. Its description in RNAcentral is "partial 16S ribosomal RNA". It matches the Rfam family "Bacterial small subunit ribosomal RNA", at positions 29 to 507 of the family's 1533-position model. The record is from RNAcentral.